Molecule: ribosomal RNA, 491 nt
Filed under: uncultured bacterium
Lineage: Bacteria
Description: bacterial SSU rRNA
Rfam family: Bacterial small subunit ribosomal RNA
Source: RNAcentral
GAUGAACGCUAGCGGCAGGCUUAACACAUGCAAGUCGAGGGGUAUAGUUCUUCGGAACUAGAGACCGGCGCACGGGUGCGUAACGCGUAUGCAAUCUACCUUAUACAGGGGAAUAGCCCAGAGAAAUUUGGAUUAAUGCCCCAUAGUGUUAUCGAAUCGCAUGGUUUGAUAACUAAAGUUCCAACGGUAUAAGAUGAGCAUGCGUCCCAUUAGUUAGUUGGUAAGGUAACGGCUUACCAAGACAAUGAUGGGUAGGGGUCCUGAGAGGGAGAUCCCCCACACUGGUACUGAGACACGGACCAGACUCCUACGGGAGGCAGCAGUGAGGAAUAUUGGACAAUGGGCGCAAGCCUGAUCCAGCCAUGCCGCGUGCAGGAUGACGGUCCUAUGGAUUGUAAACUGCUUUUGUACAGGAAGAACACUCCCUCGUGAGGGAGCUUGACGGUACUGUAAGAAUAAGGAUCGGCUAACUCCGUGCCAGCAGCCGACGG